RNAcentral lists this ribosomal RNA (1527 nucleotides) under uncultured bacterium. Its description in RNAcentral is "bacterial SSU rRNA". It matches the Rfam family "Bacterial small subunit ribosomal RNA". The record is from RNAcentral.
AGAGUUUGAUCAUGGCUCAGAACGAACGCUGGCAGCGUGGAUUAGGCAUGCAAGUCGAACGGGAUCCGGUCGGUAGCAAUAUUGACCGGUGAGAGUGGCGGAUUGGGGAGGAACACGUGAGCAACCCGCCCUGGAGAUGGGGAAAACCUCUGGAAACGGAGGCUAAUACCGAAUGUGGCGCCCGGCGGCAUCGCCGGAGCGCCGAAGGGGGCCAAAAGCUCCCGCUCCGGGAAGGGCUCGCGCACCAUCAGCUAGUUGGCGGGGUAACGGCCCACCAAGGCUCACGGUUAGCUGGUCUGAGAGGAUGACCAGCCCCACUGGGACUGAGAUACUGCCCAGACUCCUACGGGAGGCUGCAGUCGAGGAUCAUUCGCAAUGGGCGAAAGCCUGACGAUGCGACGCUGCGUGGAGGAUGAAGGCCCUCGGGUCGUAAACUCCUGUCAUCGGGGAAGAGGCGAGGGAGGCGAACACCCUCCUUAGUUGACGGUACCCGAAGAGGAAGCGACGGCUAACUCUGUGCCAGCAGCCGCGGUAAUACAGAGGUCGCUAGCGUUGUUCGGAUUUACUGGGCGUAAAGGGCACGUAGGCGGCCAGGCGUGUCGAGUGUGAAAUCUCCGGGCUCAACCCGGAAAGUGCGCUCGAGACUGCCUGGCUGGAGUACGGGAGGGGGAAGGGGAAUAUAGGGUGUAGCGGUGAAAUGCGUUGAUAUCCUAUAGAACACCGGAGGCGAAGGCGCCUUCCUGGAACGUAACUGACGCUAAGGUGCGAAAGUCGGGGGAGCAAACAGGAUUAGAUACCCUGGUAGUCCCGACCCUAAACGGUGCAUGCUCGGGGUGGGGGGCUUUCACCCCCCCCGUCCCUCCGCAAACGCGUUAAGGCGCCGCCUGGGGAUUACGGCCGCAAGGCUAAAACUUUCCCAAAUUGACGGGGGCCCGCACAAGCUGUUAGCAUGUGGCUUAAUUCGAUGCAACGCGAAGAACCUUACCUGGGCUUGACAUGCAGCUGCACGACCUAUGAAAGUAGGUCUCCUCCGAGGGUGCUGCACAGGUGCUGCAUGGCUGUCGUCAGUUCGUGCCGUGAGGUGUUUGGUUAAGUCCACCAACGAACGCAACCCCUUAUCCGUGUUGCCAACGGUUCGGCCGGGAACUCGCGGAUGACUGCUGGUUCACGCCAGAGGAAGGUGGGGAUGACGUCAAGUCAGUAUGGCCCUUACGCCCAGGGCUGCACACGUGCUACAAUGGCCGGUACAGAGGGACGCGAAGCCGCGAGGCGGAGCAAACCCCACAGAGCCGGCCCCAGUUCAGAUCGGGGUCUGCAACCCGACCCCGUGAAGUCGGAUUUGCUAGUAACGGCGCAUCAGCUACGGCGCCGUGAAUGCGUUCCCGGGCCUUGUACACACCGCCCGUCACAUCAUGAAAGCCGUCUGCACCCGAAGUCCGGCACUUGUCGGCCUAAGGUGUGGGUGGUGAUUGGGAUGAAGUCGUAACAAGGUAACCGUUGGGGAACCAGCGGUUGGAUCACCUCCUU